CGGCGGACGGGUGAGUAAUGCCUAGGAAUCUGCCUGGUAGUGGGGGACGAACGUUUCGAAAGGAACGCUAAUACCGCAUACGUCCUACGGGAGAAAGCAGGGACCUUCGGGCCUUGCGCUAUCAGAUGAGCCUAGGUCGGAUUAGCUAGUUGGUGAGGUAAUGGCUCACCAAGGCGACGAUCCGUAACUGGUCUGAGAGGAUGAUCAGUCACACUGGAACUGAGACACGGUCCAGACUCCUACGGGAGGCAGCAGGU
Molecule: ribosomal RNA, 257 nt
Filed under: uncultured Pseudomonas sp.
Lineage: Bacteria; Pseudomonadati; Pseudomonadota; Gammaproteobacteria; Pseudomonadales; Pseudomonadaceae
Description: partial 16S ribosomal RNA
Rfam family: Bacterial small subunit ribosomal RNA
Source: RNAcentral